RNAcentral lists this ribosomal RNA (469 nucleotides) under uncultured organism. RNAcentral's name for it is "partial 16S ribosomal RNA". It matches the Rfam family "Bacterial small subunit ribosomal RNA", at positions 335 to 796 of the family's 1533-position model. The record is from RNAcentral.
ACUCCUGCGGGAGGCAGCAGUGGGGAAUUUUGGACAAUGGGCGAAAGCCUGAUCCAGCAAUGCCGCGUGCAGGAUGAAGGCCUUCGGGUUGUAAACUGCUUUUGUACGGAACGAAAAAGCUCCUUCUAAUACAGGGGGCCCAUGACGGUACCGUAAGAAUAAGCACCGGCUAACUACGUGCCAGCAGCCGCGGUAAUACGUAGGGUGCGAGCGUUAAUCGGAAUUACUGGGCGUAAAGCGUGCGCAGGCGGUUAUGUAAGACAGAUGUGAAAUCCCCGGGCUCAACCUGGGAACUGCAUUUGUGACUGCAUGGCUAGAGUACGGUAGAGGGGGAUGGAAUUCCGCGUGUAGCAGUGAAAUGCGUAGAUAUGCGGAGGAACACCGAUGGCGAAGGCAAUCCCCUGGACCUGUACUGACGCUCAUGCACGAAAGCGUGGGGGGCAAACAGGAUUAGAAACCCGAGUAGUCC